This 307-nucleotide RNase P RNA is filed under the name human gut metagenome. RNAcentral describes it as "Bacterial RNase P class A". It matches the Rfam family "Bacterial RNase P class A", at positions 31 to 357 of the family's 367-position model. Rfam says of the family: Ribonuclease P (RNase P) is a ubiquitous endoribonuclease, found in archaea, bacteria and eukarya as well as chloroplasts and mitochondria. Its best characterised activity is the generation of mature 5'-ends of tRNAs by cleaving the 5'-leader elements of precursor-tRNAs. The record is from RNAcentral.
AAGGCUGUAUAUGAGGAAAGUCCGGGCAUCACAGGGCAGGGUGCCGGGUAACUCCCGGUGGAGGCGACUCUAAGGAAAGUGCAACAGAAAAUAACCGCCGCAUUUUUGCGGUAAGGAUGAAAAGGCGAGGUAAGAGCUCACCGCGGAUUGGGUAAUCAAUCCGGCGUGUAAACCCCAUCCGAUGCAACACCGUGUAAGAGAGAUUUAUAUUUGCCCGAUAUUCUCUCAAUAGAGGUGGCUUGAGUUGUGUAGAGAUAUACAACCUAGACAGAUGGCUAUUCAGACGACAGAACCCGGCUUACUGUUU